Molecule: ribosomal RNA, 465 nt
Filed under: Vreelandella stevensii
Lineage: Bacteria; Pseudomonadati; Pseudomonadota; Gammaproteobacteria; Oceanospirillales; Halomonadaceae
Description: partial 16S ribosomal RNA
Rfam family: Bacterial small subunit ribosomal RNA
Source: RNAcentral
CCUACGGGCGGCAGCAGUGGGGAAUAUUGGACAAUGGGGGGAACCCUGAUCCAGCCAUGCCGCGUGUGUGAAGAAGGCCCUCGGGUUGUAAAGCACUUUCAGUGAGGAAGAACGCCUGGUGGUUAAUACCCAUCAGGAAAGACAUCACUCACAGAAGAAGCACCGGCUAACUCCGUGCCAGCAGCCGCGGUAAUACGGAGGGUGCGAGCGUUAAUCGGAAUUACUGGGCGUAAAGCGCGCGUAGGUGGCUUGAUAAGCCGGUUGUGAAAGCCCCGGGCUCAACCUGGGAACGGCAUCCGGAACUGUCAAGCUAGAGUGCAGGAGAGGAAGGUAGAAUUCCCGGUGUAGCGGUGAAAUGCGUAGAGAUCAGGAGGAAUACCAGUGGCGAAGGCGGCCUUCUGGACUGACACUGACACUGAGGUGCGAAAGCGUGGGUAGCAAACAGGAUUAGAUACCCUGGUAGUC